GCGGAACUGGCGGAAUGGUAGACGCGCAUGAUUCAGGUUCAUGUGCCGCGAGGCGUGGAGGUUCAAGUCCUCUGUUCCGCA
RNAcentral lists this transfer RNA (81 nucleotides) under Gloeobacterales cyanobacterium ES-bin-313. It matches the Rfam family "tRNA". From Rfam's summary of the family: Transfer RNA (tRNA) molecules are approximately 80 nucleotides in length. Their secondary structure includes four short double-helical elements and three loops (D, anti-codon, and T loops). The record is from Rfam by way of RNAcentral. Lineage: Bacteria; Bacillati; Cyanobacteriota; Cyanophyceae; Gloeobacterales.